Molecule: ribosomal RNA, 1369 nt
Filed under: uncultured bacterium
Lineage: Bacteria
Description: bacterial SSU rRNA
Rfam family: Bacterial small subunit ribosomal RNA
Source: RNAcentral
GACGAACGCUGGCGGCGUGCCUAAUACAUGCAAGUAGAACGCUGAAGAGAGGAGCUUGCUCUUCUUGGAUGAGUUGCGAACGGGUGAGUAACGCGUAGGUAACCUGCCUUGUAGCGGGGGAUAACUAUUGGAAACGAUAGCUAAUACCGCAUAACAAUGGAUGACACAUGUCAUUUAUUUGAAAGGGGCAAUUGCUCCACUACAAGAUGGACCUGCGUUGUAUUAGCUAGUAGGUGAGGUAAUGGCUCACCUAGGCGACGAUACAUAGCCGACCUGAGAGGGUGAUCGGCCACACUGGGACUGAGACACGGCCCAGACUCCUACGGGAGGCAGCAGUAGGGAAUCUUCGGCAAUGGGGGCAACCCUGACCGAGCAACGCCGCGUGAGUGAAGAAGGUUUUCGGAUCGUAAAGCUCUGUUGUAAGUCAAGAACGGGUGUGAGAGUGGAAAGUUCACACUGUGACGGUAGCUUACCAGAAAGGGACGGCUAACUACGUGCCAGCAGCCGCGGUAAUACGUAGGUCCCGAGCGUUGUCCGGAUUUAUUGGGCGUAAAGCGAGCGCAGGCGGUUUGAUAAGUCUGAAGUUAAAGGCUGUGGCUCAACCAUAGUUCGCUUUGGAAACUGUCAAACUUGAGUGCAGAAGGGGAGAGUGGAAUUCCAUGUGUAGCGGUGAAAUGCGUAGAUAUAUGGAGGAACACCGGUGGCGAAAGCGGCUCUCUGGUCUGUAACUGACGCUGAGGCUCGAAAGCGUGGGGAGCGAACAGGAUUAGAUACCCUGGUAGUCCACGCCGUAAACGAUGAGUGCUAGGUGUUGGAUCCUUUCCGGGAUUCAGUGCCGCAGCUAACGCAUUAAGCACUCCGCCUGGGGAGUACGACCGCAAGGUUGAAACUCAAAGGAAUUGACGGGGGCCCGCACAAGCGGUGGAGCAUGUGGUUUAAUUCGAAGCAACGCGAAGAACCUUACCAGGUCUUGACAUCCCGAUGCUAUUUCUAGAGAUAGAAAGUUACUUCGGUACAUCGGUGACAGGUGGUGCAUGGUUGUCGUCAGCUCGUGUCGUGAGAUGUUGGGUUAAGUCCCGCAACGAGCGCAACCCCUAUUGUUAGUUGCCAUCAUUCAGUUGGGCACUCUAGCGAGACUGCCGGUAAUAAACCGGAGGAAGGUGGGGAUGACGUCAAAUCAUCAUGCCCCUUAUGACCUGGGCUACACACGUGCUACAAUGGUUGGUACAACGAGUUGCGAGUCGGUGACGGCGAGCUAAUCUCUUAAAGCCAAUCUCAGUUCGGAUUGUAGGCUGCAACUCGCCUACAUGAAGUCGGAAUCGCUAGUAAUCGCGGAUCAGCACGCCGCGGUGAAUAAGUUCCCGGGCCU